GACGAACGCUGGCGGCGUGCUUAACACAUGCAAGUCGAACGGACAGGCCCUGCUCUUGUGGGUUGCACGAGAGGCGAGCGGGUGAGUGAAACGCGUGUAACCUGCCCUUGUAUUUGGGAUAUAUUCUGGGAACAGGGGCUCUUAUCGCGUAGAAUCUCUUGCUGCAUGGGGGGGGUUGGAGAGAUACGGCGGUUGGGGAUGGACUCGCGGCUUAUCAGCUUGUUGGUGGGGUAGUGGCUUACCAAGUCUUUGAAGGGUAGCCGGCCUGAGAGGGUGACCGGCCACAUUGGGACUGCGGGACGGCCCAGUCGCCUAUGGGAGGCAGCAGUGGGGAAUAUUGCACAACGGGGCGGAGCCAGAUGCAGCAGCGCUGCGAGCGGGAUGACCGCCUUCUGGUUGUAAACCACUUUCGCCGGUGACGAAGCCUGAGUGACGGUAAUGAGUAAAGAAGCACCGGCUAACUACGUG
Molecule: ribosomal RNA, 468 nt
Filed under: uncultured bacterium
Lineage: Bacteria
Description: partial 16S ribosomal RNA
Rfam family: Bacterial small subunit ribosomal RNA
Source: RNAcentral